GAUGAACGCUGGCGGCGUGCCUAAUACAUGCAAGUCGAGCGAACGGACGAGAAGCUUGCUUCUCUGAUGUUAGCGGCGGACGGGUGAGUAACACGUGGAUAACCUACCUAUAAGACUGGGAUAACUUCGGGAAACCGGAGCUAAUACCGGAUGAUAUUUUGAACCGCAUGGUUCAAAAGUGAAAGACGGUCUUGCUGUCACUUAUAGAUGGAUCCGCGGUGCAUUAGCUAGUUGGUAAGGUAACGGCUUACCAAGGCAACGAUGCAUAGCCGACCUGAGAGGAUGAUCGGCCACACUGGAACUGAGACACGGUCCAGACUCCUACGGGAGGCAGCAGUAGGGAAUCUUGCGCAAUGGGCGAAAGCCUGACGGAGCAACGCCGCGUGAGUGAUGAAGGUCUUCGGGUCGUAAAACUCUGUUAUUAGGGAAGAACAGAUGUGUAAGUAACUGUGCACAUCUUGACGGUACCUAAUCAGAAAGCCACGGCUAACUACGUG
RNAcentral lists this ribosomal RNA (497 nucleotides) under uncultured bacterium. RNAcentral's name for it is "partial 16S ribosomal RNA". It matches the Rfam family "Bacterial small subunit ribosomal RNA", at positions 28 to 507 of the family's 1533-position model. The record is from RNAcentral.